UCCAAAGUAAUUGACGCAAAUUUGUUAGAUAUGCAUGUAUCUACACACUAAAACGCGUCUAGAUACAUGCAUAUCUUGAUAAAUAUGUGUCAAUUAAGAAUGGGGGAAUAUCAGUUAAUGACUGACGAAAUUUAAUGAUAGAAAGUUCAUCCCAGGCACUAUAAAUAGACAAGGUUGCAGACCUUUUGGCUUACCACACCUUAAGUUAUUCAAUCCAAGCUUUCACAAUGGCCUGCAAGAUGGCAUUAGUCUUGUCUCUAUCGGUGUUAGCAUUCUUCAUCUGCCUUGGUACUGCUGAAGCUGGCCCGCAGUGCAUGUACCAGCUUAAUCCUUACUAUCAUAGUAGGUGCGAGACAAAUGAUGACAACGACAAUUGUCGAAGUGCUUGUAAAAAAUUUGAGGCACCAAAGUACAUGGGUGGUAUGUGCCAUGAUGAACAAUGCGUCUGUUAUACCUGUUAAUGAUCAUCGGACUCUUCCACCGCUGGGGUAGCCAUUAAGAUACAUCCACUUGUCCCUUGGUGGACACCACCAUAGAAAGAUUUGAGCUCCAAGGAAGAUUGUCUUUUUGGUGUAACAGAAUAAAUUGGCAAUGUAUCGAACUAUGAUUUAGCAAGUUUUUUUCCCGAUGAGUUA
Long non-coding RNA from Aegilops tauschii subsp. strangulata, 635 nucleotides. RefSeq lists it as uncharacterized. The record is from RefSeq and is a predicted model, not a curated record. NCBI's taxonomy places the organism in Eukaryota, Viridiplantae, Streptophyta, Magnoliopsida, Poales, Poaceae.